GACGAACGCUGGCGGCGUGCUUAACACAUGCAAGUCGAACGAUGAAGCUGGAGCUUGCUCUGGCGGAUUAGUGGCGAACGGGUGAGUAACACGUGAGAAAUCUGCCCUUGACUCUGGGAUAACUGCGGGAAACUGUAGCUAAUACCGGAUACUUUCCCUGGUGGGCAUCCACUGGGGAAGAAAGAAUUUCGGUCAAGGAUGAUCUCGCGGCCUAUCAGCUUGUUGGUGAGGUAAUGGCUCACCAAGGCGACGACGGGUAGCCGGCCUGUGAGGGGGACCGGCCACGCUGGGACUGGGACACGGCCCAGAAUCCUACGGGAGGCAGCAGGGGGGAAUAUUGCACAAUGGGCGCAAGCCUGAUGCAGCAACGCCGCGUGAGGGAUGAAGGCCUUCGGGUUGUAAACCUCUUUUAGCAGGGAAGAAGCGAAAGUGACGGUACCUGCAGAAAAAGCACCGGCUAACUACGUGCCAGCAGCCGCCGUAA
This 484-nucleotide ribosomal RNA is filed under the name uncultured bacterium. RNAcentral's name for it is "partial 16S ribosomal RNA". It matches the Rfam family "Bacterial small subunit ribosomal RNA", at positions 28 to 523 of the family's 1533-position model. The record is from RNAcentral.